AUUGAACGCUGGCGGCAUGCCUUACACAUGCAAGUCGAACGGUAACGGGCCUUCGGGUGCCGACGAGUGGCGAACGGGUGAGUAAUGCAUCGGAACGUACCUUUCAGCGGGGGAUAACGUAGCGAAAGUUACGCUAAUACCGCAUAUUCUGUGAGCAGGAAAGCAGGGGAUCGCAAGACCUUGCGCUGAUUGAGCGGCCGAUGUCAGAUUAGCUAGUUGGUGAGGUAAAGGCUCACCAAGGCGACGAUCUGUAGCGGGUCUGAGAGGAUGAUCCGCCACACUGGAACUGAGACACGGUCCAGACUCCUACGGGAGGCAGCAGUGGGGAAUUUUGGACAAUGGGGGCAACCCUGAUCCAGCCAUGCCGCGUGAGUGAAGAAGGCC
RNAcentral lists this ribosomal RNA (384 nucleotides) under uncultured bacterium. RNAcentral describes it as "bacterial SSU rRNA". It matches the Rfam family "Bacterial small subunit ribosomal RNA", at positions 30 to 416 of the family's 1533-position model. The record is from RNAcentral.